RNAcentral lists this ribosomal RNA (489 nucleotides) under uncultured bacterium. RNAcentral describes it as "partial 16S ribosomal RNA". It matches the Rfam family "Bacterial small subunit ribosomal RNA", at positions 28 to 507 of the family's 1533-position model. The record is from RNAcentral.
GAUGAACGCUAGCUACAGGCUUAACACAUGCAAGUCGAGGGGCAGCAUGAUUGAAGCUUGCUUCAAUCGAUGGCGACCGGCGCACGGGUGAGUAACACGUAUCCAACCUGCCGAUAACUCGGGGAUGGCCUUUCGAAAGAAAGAUUAAUACCCGAUAGUAUAGUAUUUCCGCAUGGUUUCACUAUUAAAGAACUUCGGUUAUCGAUGGGGAUGCGUUCCAUUAGAUAGUUGGCGGGGUAACGGCCCACCAAGUCAACGAUGGAUAGGGGUUCUGAGAGGAAGGUCCCCCACAUGGGAACUGAGACACGGUCCAAACUCCUACGGGAGGCAGCAGUGAGGAAUAUUGGUCAAUGGACGAGAGUCUGAACCAGCCAAGUAGCGUGAAGGAUGACUGCCCUAUGGGUUGUAAACUUCUUUUAUACGGGAAUAAAGUGGAGUAUGCAUACUCCUUUGUAUGUACCGUAUGAAUAAGGAUCGGCUAACUCCGUG